RNAcentral lists this ribosomal RNA (417 nucleotides) under uncultured eukaryote. Its description in RNAcentral is "bacterial SSU rRNA". It matches the Rfam family "Eukaryotic small subunit ribosomal RNA", at positions 592 to 1013 of the family's 1831-position model. The record is from RNAcentral.
CAAUAGCGUAUAUUAAAGUUGUUGCGGUUAAAAAAGUUCGUAGUUGGAUUUCUGUGAAGGAUAACCGGUCCGCACUAUGUGCGUGUAUCUGUUUGUCCUUUGCAUCCUCGCGGAAUACGUCACUGUGCUUCACUGCAUGGGGCGGGCUUCGCGACUUUUACUUUGAGGAAAUUAGAGUGUUCACGGCAGGCUCACGCCAUGAAUAUAUUAGCAUGGAAUAAUAAUAUAGGACCUUGGUUCUAUUUUGUUGGUUUCUAGGGCUAAGGUAAUGAUUAAUAGGGAUAGUUGGGGGCGUUUAUAUUCCGUUGUCAGAGGUGAAAUUCUUGGAUUUACGGAAGAUAAACUACUGCGAAAGCAUUCGCCAAGGAUGUUUUCAUUAAUCAAGAACGAAAGUUAGGGGAUCGAAGAUGAUUAGAU